This 25-nucleotide microRNA is filed under the name Canis lupus familiaris (dog). RNAcentral's name for it is "cfa-miR-8841". Lineage: Eukaryota; Metazoa; Chordata; Mammalia; Carnivora; Canidae. The record is from miRBase by way of RNAcentral.
UUUCCAGCUUCCUUAAGGAUCUCUG